AUGCAAAGUCCCAUCCAACUAUACCCAUUAAAAUUCAUUCAAAGUUCCAUCCAUGGAUUUUAUUCAAGAUUCAAGUUCUUUGCACACUCUCAAAAGUCAACAUAUGGUAAAUAUACAUUGUUUUAUUCCAAGGUUCAUGAACCAUUACAAACAUCAUCCAAACAUAUAUUCAAGAGUCAAUACCAUUACAUCAUAACCAUAAGGAAAAAUAUGCAAAAUCUUCAGUAA
This is a non-coding RNA of Vicia faba (fava bean), 228 nucleotides long. The record is from the annotation of a GenBank genome assembly. Lineage: Eukaryota; Viridiplantae; Streptophyta; Magnoliopsida; Fabales; Fabaceae.